AUUUUAAGUGGUGUAAAAAACACUUAACAUUUUCGUUGUUAAAUUCUUCAAUAGCUUAAAUAA
RNAcentral lists this transfer RNA (63 nucleotides) under Haemaphysalis cornigera. RNAcentral describes it as "tRNA-Glu". Lineage: Eukaryota; Metazoa; Arthropoda; Arachnida; Ixodida; Ixodidae. The record is from RNAcentral.